Molecule: long non-coding RNA, 1080 nt
Filed under: Olea europaea subsp. europaea
Lineage: Eukaryota; Viridiplantae; Streptophyta; Magnoliopsida; Lamiales; Oleaceae
Source: RNAcentral
CGAGGAACCAGACUUAGAAUCGCAGGAGAUGGAGCAUAUUCAGCAAGUUUAGGCCAAAUGCAAAUCUGGAGUUUUGAAUCAGUAAUUAAAUGAACAAUAAUGUUUUGAAGAAGUUUCUGUUAUUUGCCUAUUUUGUAUUACAUUUCUGUUAGCAUAUAGCCAAUGUAAUCCUGGCAAAAAAACGUGUUGCAGAUUUUCAAAUUUUUUAUUUUUAUUUUUUUGUCUCUAUCAAGAGAGAAACUUGGGUGGGGCGUGGUGGUGCGACCGUCCAACCCCAAGGUGCCACCUCUGCGGAUGAACCACACACCUCAGGGGUGUGUGGUGGCCCACCCGUCGAGGUGGCGCACAUUGAUAGGACGGUCGCACCACGUGAUGUCAAUUUAUAUUGGUACUACAAUUUUUAUUCGUUUCACUACAUUUUAAUUGUACUUCGCGUUAUAACAAUCAUUUUUUUAAUUUUUUUGUCAAAUUCUUGUCUUCAAUUUUUCAUUAAUUAAUACAUCAUGUCAUUAAUGAUGAUUUACCACAAAUAUUUUUUUGGACGACUUUUGCGGCGAUUUUCAGAUCGAAUCUCUUGAAGUUCUGAGGAGAUUUUGGGUGUAAUUGAAGAGGACAUUGUGAACUUUCCAACAUUAUCAAAAUUCCACGAUAUCAACGGUCGAAAGUGGCCGAAAAGUUACCGCAAAAGCAGCCCAAAAAAUUGAAAAUGUCGUUUUAAACUUCAGUGAUCGUUUCUGCAAAUUUUUAAACUUCAAUGACCAUUUUUGAAAGUUUUUAAAUUUCAGUGACCAUUUUUGAAAGCGCCCCGAAACUUAAGUGACCGUUACUGAAAGUAUUAAACUUCAGUGACCAUUUUGUAAUUUUCGCAUAAGUUCAGUAACCGUUUUUGAAAUUAAUCCGAAAAGGUUUGCAUGUAGAGUUUCAUGUUUCUUAAAAAGUACAAAUGAAUCUCACGUAAAACAAUUUAAAAAAUUCUAAUAAAAGAAAUAUAUUUUAUCUUCUCAAUUAACCCACCUACUCCUACACCCAUCCCCUACAUUCCACCACCACUACAAAAUUAAUCAAAGAGAUAAUUAAAAG